RNAcentral lists this unclassified non-coding RNA (335 nucleotides) under Hevea brasiliensis (rubber tree). The record is from RNAcentral. Lineage: Eukaryota; Viridiplantae; Streptophyta; Magnoliopsida; Malpighiales; Euphorbiaceae.
GCAGUUUGAAGGCUUUGAUAGCCUGUUUUAAUGAUGCAAUGUCUCCUUCAAGAUAGUGUUGCAAUUUCCCCACUGUAUAGACGAUAAAUAGUAGCUCCAUCUCAUAAACUGAUAGAAUUUGUUUGUUCGCAGAUAAAGCCUCACUAAUAAGCAAUGGGGUGCACCUCUUUGCAUUAGUACAGCUCCUAUUACGCACCCACUGGCAUCAGUUUCAAAAAUAAUUUCCUUAAAAAAAUCAUGUAAAGCCAACAUAGGGGAAGUCACCAUCAAACUGCUACACAUAUGAAUAUUUUUACCACUUAAAGGCAUAAUUAAAAGAACUGCAAAAGGUUCAU